Molecule: ribosomal RNA, 1372 nt
Filed under: uncultured bacterium
Lineage: Bacteria
Description: bacterial SSU rRNA
Rfam family: Bacterial small subunit ribosomal RNA
Source: RNAcentral
GAUGAACGCUGGCGGCGUGCCUAAUACAUGCAAGUCGAGCGAACGGACGAGAAGCUUGCUUCUCUGAUGUUAGCGGCGAACGGGUGAGUAACACGUGGAUAACCUACCUAUAAGACUGGGAUAACUUCGGGAAACCGGAGCUAAUACCGGAUAAUAUUUUGAACCGCAUGGUUCAAAAGUGAAAGACGGUCUUGCUGUCACUUAUAGAUGGAUCCGCGCUGCAUUAGCUAGUUGGUAAGGUAACGGCUUACCAAGGCAACGAUGCAUAGCCGACCUGAGAGGGUGAUCGGCCACACUGGAACUGAGACACGGUCCAGACUCCUACGGGAGGCAGCAGUAGGGAAUCUUCCGCAAUGGGCGAAAGCCUGACGGAGCAACGCCGCGUGAGUGAUGAAGGUCUUCGGAUCGUAAAACUCUGUUAUUAGGGAAGAACAUAUGUGUAAGUAACUGUGCACAUCUUGACGGUACCUAAUCAGAAAGCCACGGCUAACUACGUGCCAGCAGCCGCGGUAAUACGUAGGUGGCAAGCGUUAUCCGGAAUUAUUGGGCGUAAAGCGCGCGUAGGCGGUUUUUUAAGUCUGAUGUGAAAGCCCACGGCUCAACCGUGGAGGGUCAUUGGAAACUGGAAAACUUGAGUGCAGAAGAGGAAAGUGGAAUUCCAUGUGUAGCGGUGAAAUGCGCAGAGAUAUGGAGGAACACCAGUGGCGAAGGCGACUUUCUGGUCUGUAACUGACGCUGAUGUGCGAAAGCGUGGGGAUCAAACAGGAUUAGAUACCCUGGUAGUCCACGCCGUAAACGAUGAGUGCUAAGUGUUAGGGGGUUUCCGCCCCUUAGUGCUGCAGCUAACGCAUUAAGCACUCCGCCUGGGGAGUACGACCGCAAGGUUGAAACUCAAAGGAAUUGACGGGGACCCGCACAAGCGGUGGAGCAUGUGGUUUAAUUCGAAGCAACGCGAAGAACCUUACCAAAUCUUGACAUCCUUUGACAACUCUAGAGAUAGAGCUUUCCCCUUCGGGGGACAAAGUGACAGGUGGUGCAUGGUUGUCGUCAGCUCGUGUCGUGAGAUGUUGGGUUAAGUCCCGCAACGAGCGCAACCCUUAAGCUUAGUUGCCAUCAUUAAGUUGGGCACUCUAAGUUGACUGCCGGUGACAAACCGGAGGAAGGUGGGGAUGACGUCAAAUCAUCAUGCCCCUUAUGAUUUGGGCUACACACGUGCUACAAUGGACAAUACAAAGGGCAGCGAAACCGCGAGGUCAAGCAAAUCCCAUAAAGUUGUUCUCAGUUCGGAUUGUAGUCUGCAACUCGACUACAUGAAGCUGGAAUCGCUAGUAAUCGUAGAUCAGCAUGCUACGGUGAAUACGUUCCCGGGUCU